RNAcentral lists this ribosomal RNA (497 nucleotides) under uncultured bacterium. RNAcentral describes it as "partial 16S ribosomal RNA". It matches the Rfam family "Bacterial small subunit ribosomal RNA", at positions 28 to 507 of the family's 1533-position model. The record is from RNAcentral.
GAUGAACGCUGGCGGCGUGCCUAAUACAUGCAAGUCGAGCGAACGGACGAGAAGCUUGCUUCUCUGAUGUUAGCGGCGGACGGGUGAGUAACACGUGGAUAACCUACCUAUAAGACUGGGAUAACUUCGGGAAACCGUAGCUAAUACCGGAUAAUAUUUUGAACCGCAUGGUUCAAAAGUGAAAGACGGUCUUGCUGUCACUUAUAGAUGGAUCCGCGCUGCAUUAGCUAGUUGGUAAGGUAACGGCUAACCAAGGCAACGAUGCAUAGCCGACCUGAGAGGGUGAUCGGCCACACUGGAACUGAGACACGGUCCAGACUCCUACGGGAGGCAGCAGUAGGGAAUCUUCCGCAAUGGGCGAAAGCCUGACGGAGCAACGCCGCGUGAGUGAUGAAGGUCUUCGGAUCGUAAAACUCUGUUAUUAGGGAAGAACAUAUGUGUAAGUAACUGUGCACAUCUUGACGGUACCUAAUCAGAAAGCCACGGCUAACUACGUG